GAUGAACGCUGGCGGCGUGCCUAAUACAUGCAAGUCGAGCGAACAGAUAAUGAGCUUUCUCCUUUGACGUUAGCGGCGGACGGGUGAGUUACACGUGCAUAACCUACCUAUAAUACUUGGAUAACUUCGUGAAACCGCUUCUACUACCGCCUAACAUAUUCAACGGCUUGGUUCAAUGGUUAAUGGCGCCUUGCGUGUCACUAUUAGCUGAUUCCGCGCCGGAUUAGCUAGUUGGUAAGGUACCGGCUAACCAAGGCAACGAUACGUAGCCGACCUGAGAGGGUGAUCGGCCACACUGGAACUGAGACACGGUCCAGACUCCUACGGGAGGCAGCAGUAGGGAAUAUUGCGCAAUGGGCGCAAGCCUGACGGAGCAACGCCGCGUGAGUGAUGAAGGUCUUCGGAUUGUAAAACCCUGUUAUCAGGGAAGAAAAAAUGUGUAAGUAACUGUGCACAUCUUGACGGUACCUGAUCAGAAAGCAACGGCUAACUACGUG
This 497-nucleotide ribosomal RNA is filed under the name uncultured bacterium. Its description in RNAcentral is "partial 16S ribosomal RNA". It matches the Rfam family "Bacterial small subunit ribosomal RNA", at positions 28 to 507 of the family's 1533-position model. The record is from RNAcentral.